Molecule: long non-coding RNA, 253 nt
Organism: Penaeus monodon (black tiger shrimp)
Lineage: Eukaryota; Metazoa; Arthropoda; Malacostraca; Decapoda; Penaeidae
Exons: 3
Source: RefSeq, a predicted model, not a curated record
UUCCUCGGUGGUGGGUGGAGUGAGUGGAAAGGAGAGCUCAGCUGAGAAGAUGUACCAGGAGACGUUAAUCCAUGCCCUAGGAGAAUACGCCAACCACCUGCCUGACUAUCAGAAGAUCGACUCCAUGGUCUUCAUCCUGAAUAAGGUGCCGGGCAGUGACCGAGUGGACGAUGGAGGUUCUCAGCGACCCGAGGCAGAGGUCAAACUUCAGCAUCUGCUCCUCAAGUCACUUCUCAAGGUGGGAACCAAGUAA